CAUGAGGGAGAGAAAGGAAGGGACAGACACAAAAGAGAGAAGGUACAGCUCCUACAUCUGCGCAUCAUGUUGGUGUGAAGACCUGUAAGAAAAUGUCAACAAGUAGGACUCUGUGUCAGAAGCGUGUGAUGUGGAGAACAAUCGCUCUCUCUCUCACUCUCUCACUCACUCUCUCACUCUCUCACUCACUCACUCACUCUCUCACUCUCUCUCACAAACACACACACACACAAUAAACAGUGCUGGUUUUCCUGGCAUUUUGGCAAAGA
Cyclopterus lumpus (lumpfish) is the source of this 269-nucleotide long non-coding RNA. RefSeq lists it as uncharacterized. The transcript has 2 exons. The record is from RefSeq and is a predicted model, not a curated record. Lineage: Eukaryota; Metazoa; Chordata; Actinopteri; Perciformes; Cyclopteridae.